UCUCAGCAGUGCUCUGUGUUCUGUGGAAGCCCUAGCCUGGGGUGCAUCAGGCCCAGCACUGUUGAUCAGCUUGGGAUAUUCUGUGGUUCUGUGAAGAAGAUAUUUGGAUGUUUUCAAACCAGACUUUGCUCCAGGAGGUGCUCUGGGAAGGGCUCAGGAAGGACAAAACUCAUCAUGUAUUGGACACAUUAGAAGAUGCGAAGAUCAAAGUGUCUCCUAGAAAGCAUCAGAAACCUAUCUGGAUUUUUGGCUUUAUUUGGUCGACUUCUUACAGUAUGUUGCAGCUGUUACACCCAAACAGGCAGGGAACAUUUACUGUCUUACAGUGGUAGCG
Molecule: long non-coding RNA, 334 nt
Organism: Lagopus leucura (white-tailed ptarmigan)
Lineage: Eukaryota; Metazoa; Chordata; Aves; Galliformes; Phasianidae
Exons: 3
Source: RefSeq, a predicted model, not a curated record